CGGGGGGAGGGGUCAUUCUUCACAUUCUUCACCUCGCCCCUCCCCCAGCUUCAAUCAAACUUGGGCGGGGGAAGUCCCGCCCCCGAGCGGAGCCCAUUGGCCGGCGCCGCCUCCCGCUGUGGCGUGGCUGGCUGCGGGCGCCACCAGCUCCUCUUGACGUCACUUCCGCUAUCAGGGAACCAGGAUUACCAGGAGAAAGCCUUCCUGUGGUGCUCAGCUGUGGUCCCUUUUCAGCAUUCACCCUGGACGUUCUCUUCACUGUGGGAUGAGGUAGUAGGUUGUAUAGUUUUAGGGUCACACCCACCACUGGGAGAUAACUAUACAAUCUACUGUCUUUCCUAACGUGAUAGAAAAAUCUGCAUCCCAGCAGCCUCAUAGAAAGUCGAUAACUAAUUGUACAAUAUUUAAGAUUAACUUGUGUAAACAUGCUGUAUUGCAGCAUUUCUUUAUGGUAUGCAAGUUGCUUAUUCUUUUAGAGAUUAAAAACUUUAGCAAGUAGACUGGAUGGGGGUGGGGUUACUUUUUACUUCUCAUUUCUGUAUAUCAGAAUAAGUGUAUAUUUUAUUACUGAUUGAUGCUGAUAAUUUUGUGUUGCAUUUUCUUUUGAAAGAGAUGUGCUCUCCGUUACAGAAGAAAAGAUUGCUCUGUCAGAGUGAGGUAGUAGAUUGUAUAGUUGUGGGGUAGUGAUUUUACCCUGUUCAGGAGAUAACUAUACAAUCUAUUGCCUUCCCUGAGGAGUGGACUUGCUGCAUGUUGUUGUCAUUUAGAUGGUACUAAAACGCAGAAGAAUGAGUUUUGACAUCGUUUUGUAUUUACAGUUUAUGUCAAUUGCGUAUUUUCUUUGUUCAACUAUAGUGUACCUGUAAUAGACGCAGUGAUCUAAAUUUUUAAUUUUCACAUAUGGUGUAUGUCAUAAAUCUGAAAUGAAGCAAAACUCUCAGAGUGAAGAAGGUAAUCUUCAGGAAAUCUUAAUAGGGACCAGUCCCCUUUGGAAUUGAAUAGGUUCACUGCCGUGCAUGCUGCUGCGCAUGUCCAGGGCGAGACCUGGGUGGUAAAGGUAAACACCAGCUGGAAAGGCCCUGAGCUCAAACGGAGUCAGCUUGAUUGGGGUUCAUUCUCCAGUCUGGGUUUGGGGGUGGCCUUGGGCAGUGUUGUGACCACUCCUUCAUUGGUGUGUUGUUUUGGAUGGCUUCACACUCCAGCCUGGAAAAGGACAGGUGGGCUUUGGGUUCUACCCUUGCUCCCUAGGAAGUCACGAAGACUUUAGCUUUGCCCCCAAAACCUAAGUGGUCCUUGAUUCACAAAGGGUCAUCCUCUGAAGCUGUCAGAUGGGGAAAUCCAUAGUCUGUUGUUUUAAAGAAAAUAUGAGGGGCCGGCCCGGUGGCGCAAGUGGUUAAGUGCACGCACUCCGCUGUGGCGGCCCAGGGUUCACUGGUUCAGAUCCCAGGCGCGCACUGACACACUGCUUGUUAAGCCAUGCUGUGGCGGUGUCCCGUAUAAAGUGGAGGAAGAUGGGCACGGAUGUUAGCCCAGGGCCAGUCUUCCUCAGCAACAAAAGAGGAGGAUUGGCAGAUAUUAGCACAGGGCUGAUGUUCCUCACAAAAAAAAAAAAAAAAAAUGUGAGGAUAAUGCUAGAGAGGGCUACUUGAGUUAUAACACCUGUGAAGGCCCAUGUCUCAUCUUUCUUCCAGUGGCCAAACCAUAUGCUGCCUUGGGUCUUAUAAUCAAGCAAGACUAAAAGCUUGCUGUUUUAAGUGCUUGCCGUUUAUUUUAUUUUGGGAGAAGAAAAAAAGGCAAGCUGUGGAGGUGAGGGAGAGGUCACAUCUUCCCAAAUAUUUCCUUCUAUUGUGAAUCUUAAUAUCUACUAUAAUCACAGUGUAGUGCCAUUUGCAGCAGGGAACUUUGCAUGAGAGAAACAAGUUUUCUCUUGGAUGGGCCCAACCAAGGUGAUUUAUCCUGGGCCGAAUUUAUGCUUUAUUUCAUCCCUGGCAUAUAGAUGGACAUCUGCAUGAUCUACAGUUGGUCUGUCUUAUGAACUGGACAGGUAAAUAUUGAAGGGAAAUAGUCGUUUUUACAUUUAUUGCCUUUUGAUGUGCCAAAUGAAAAUGGAAUGUUUGAGAAAUUCUCUCUGGCUUAGUCUUUGUUAAACUGACAAGUUGGAUGACUCUCCUACUCAUUGUGUGGCAAGUACAGUCGUGGAGUUUUGUGGUUUCCUGACGCCUGAGCCUCCAGUGUGGAUGUCCUCACCACUCUGCGCUUGGAAACUUAUCCUAAUCUAACUAAUAACUAAGGUCUGGAGAAAAAUGAAUUUAUAUCUUUUAUUAAUUACACAAGGACUCAUUUCAUAUCAUUAUUAGCCAAGCCUAGUAAUGGAAUCGAAUUGUGGAGAACGUCUACAUUUUGUAAAAACACUUAAAAGUACCUUUAUGGAGAGUGACAGUAUCUAAAACCUUGUUUUUGAUGGGGACAAAAAUUGUGAUCAGAAUUUGCUUCCAUUUACUGUAAUUCAAGGGUCAAAAACUCAAAUUCCUGGGUCCAGGAGGGGCUGGCUAUAACUAGGAAACAUGGCAUGUCCAGGGACAGGCAGUAAGUUAAUUUGCACCAGUUGAUGGUGGCAAGCAGGAUAUUUAUAUAUAGCAUCACCUAAUUUUCCAGUUCAUCACGAGGUGAAGAUUUUAUGAAAUCUGGCAUUUAAAUUUUGGUGCUAAAUUAAAUGUUUUAAAAAGUCUGUGGCUCCAACAAUGUAUGGUAGGCUGGGUAUUAGAUUUCUGUUUUGCAUCCUCUGAUGUAAUUGAAUUACUUAUGGUUCCUUUGUAACGAGAGGUUUGAUUUUAAGCAAAUACAUUUGUGGUUUUUACCAAGAUCAUACGGCCAGUAACUUUUUAAAACCAUCAGAAUGAAAGAAUUCUAAUUGGUUUGAAUUUGAAAUAAAACCCAAAGAAUAGGGCCUAAUUUAACAGGUUAAUUUGAAGUGCAUCUGCCAAGUAGAAGACCGGCAAGAAAACAGUGGGUUCCUAGGAAGAGGUAGUAGGUUGCAUAGUUUUAGGGCAGGGAUUUUGCCCACAAGGAGAUAACUAUACGACCUGCUGCCUUUCUUAGGGCCUAAGUAUUCCACAGUCACCUGUUAUCUUGCUGCCUUGCUUUGGUGUAAGCAGAGUUCUUCCUGCAGGUUUUCUCAUAAAUGAAAACAUUGCAGGAAUACCAGAGAAAGCAAUGCUUGCAUUCGUGGUUUAUAAACAGCAGCAUGGCACCAACGUUGAUUACUAAGAGUCAUCUACUGAGAAGUUAAGGCUUCUGAAGUUUACCUCGUUGCUUGUGUGUCUCACUGUAGUGUUGCCAGAAAGUUUUGGAAAGCAUAGGCUUUUUGCUUUGGUCAAGUCCCCUUUUCUGAUCUAGAGACUGCCAGCUGUUUCCCCUCAGUAACCUCUGUUACACCUGAAAGAAGGCAUUUAACAAAACUGUUGAAAUAUUUUGCUGUACAAAAAUAUUUUCCUACAGUGUAUUUGUAAAUAUUUAUCUUGCUAAGUUUCUGGGUUUCUUUGUCUUCUGGAUUUAAAUUCGGGGCAUUUCUGGUAGUAUUGCAUAUUCUGGGAAUCCAUCAUUGCAUUGAGCGCCCGUUAUGGUACGUAACCCUGUGGUUUAAUCUGUUUAAUGUGUACAAGGACUGGAAGGUCAGCAAAAUGAAAAUGGUUGUAAGAUAGAGUUUCUAUAAUUUGUUAACCAUCUUUGCAAUAAAAAUACUUUUACUUUAAAA
Molecule: long non-coding RNA, 3754 nt
Organism: Diceros bicornis minor
Lineage: Eukaryota; Metazoa; Chordata; Mammalia; Perissodactyla; Rhinocerotidae
Exons: 2
Source: RefSeq, a predicted model, not a curated record